RNAcentral lists this long non-coding RNA (571 nucleotides) under Homo sapiens (human). Its description in RNAcentral is "HSALNT0105632". Lineage: Eukaryota; Metazoa; Chordata; Mammalia; Primates; Hominidae. The record is from RNAcentral.
CCCAGCUCUCAGGAGGCUGAGGCACAAGAAUUGCUUGAACUGGGAGGUGGAGGUUGCAGUGAGCUGAGAUCUUGCCACUGCACUCCAGGCUGGGCAACAGAUGUGCUCACUCCGCCUUCCACCUUCUGCCAUGGGAUGACCCUCCCCAGACGCUGAUGCCACGUUUUUGGACUUCUCUGCCUCCAGAACUGUGAGAAAUAAGUUUCUUUUUUUAUAACUUACCCAGUCUGUAGUAUUCUGUUAACAGCAGAAAACAUCAGGUGAGGCCAGAACUCUGAUGCCGCCCUUGACAUCACCUUAGUUCCCUCCUGACUGGAUCAGUAUGAUGUCAAAUUAAUUGCAAUGGUGGGUACUUACUAAUUUGCAUUUACUUUUCAUUACAACAUAUCCCACAGGAUUCCAGGGACCUGGGAUGGUCUGUAUUCUUGGCAGUUCUCAAGAUCUACGAGUCUUAUUUCCUGUUAACUUUUUUCCUUUUGCUUGAUCCUAUCGGGCACAUGGAUCUUCCUAAAGUUUUGAUUCUGUAAUUAGUGCUACCAUAAAAAACUGUACAAUUUUGGAGAGUGUUUUU